Molecule: transfer RNA, 82 nt
Filed under: Leptospira sp.
Lineage: Bacteria; Pseudomonadati; Spirochaetota; Leptospiria; Leptospirales; Leptospiraceae
Also listed under: 10 other names
Description: tRNA-Leu
Rfam family: tRNA
About the family: Transfer RNA (tRNA) molecules are approximately 80 nucleotides in length.
Source: RNAcentral
GCGGGCGUGGCGAAAUUGGCAGACGCACCAGAUUUAGGUUCUGGCGCCGAGAGGCAUGGGGGUUCAAGUCCCUCCGCCCGCA